This is a non-coding RNA of Gossypium raimondii (Peruvian cotton), 145 nucleotides long. The record is from Rfam. Lineage: Eukaryota; Viridiplantae; Streptophyta; Magnoliopsida; Malvales; Malvaceae.
UGUUAAAAUUUUCAUCCUUUUGUACUAUUAAAAAUUGGCAUGGUUGACGGAAUAAUUAGACAGCAACACGUGGCAUGCCACUUUUACCUUAUGCUGACAUAUAGGGACCAAUUUUUAAUAGUAGAAAUGGAUGCAAUUUUUAAUA